GAAUUGUUCGCAAUGGGCGCAAGCCUGACCGAGCAACGCCGCGUGGAGGAUGACGGCCUUCGGGUUGUAAACUCCUUUUGGGUGGGAAGAUAUGGACGGUACCACCCGAAUAAGCCCCGGCUAACUCUGUGCCAGCAGCCGCGGUAAUACAGAGGGGGCAAGCGUUAUCCGGAUUUACUGGGCGUAAAGGGUCUGUAGGGGGCGGCGCAGGUGGGGUGUGACAUCUCCCGGCUUAACCGGGAGCGGCCGCUCCAAACCGCGCCACUCGAGCCGUGCAGAGGUCGGUGGAAUUGCCGGUGUAGUGGUGAAAUGCGUAGAGAUCGGCAGGAACACCAAGGGCGCAAGCAGCCGACUGGGCACGUGCUGACACUGAGGGACGACAGCGUGGGGAGCGAAC
RNAcentral lists this ribosomal RNA (397 nucleotides) under uncultured bacterium. RNAcentral describes it as "bacterial SSU rRNA". It matches the Rfam family "Bacterial small subunit ribosomal RNA", at positions 359 to 773 of the family's 1533-position model. The record is from RNAcentral.